GGUGGUGCAUGGUUGUUGUCAGCUCGUGUCGUGAGAUGUUGGGUUAAGUCCCGCAACGAGCGCAACCCUUAAGCUUAGUUGCCAUCAUUAAGUUGGGCACUCUAGGUUGACUGCCGGUGACAAACCGGAGGAAGGUGGGGAUGACGUCAAAUCAUCAUGCCCCUUAUGAUUUGGGCUACACACGUGCUACAAUGGACAAUACAAAGGGCAGCUAAACCGCGAGGUCAUGCAAAUCCCAUAAAGUUGUUCUCAGUUCGGAUUGUAGUCUGCAACUCGACUACAUGAAGCUGGAAUCGCUAGUAAUCGUAGAUCAGCAUGCUACGGUGAAUACGUUCCCGGGUCUUGUACACAC
Molecule: ribosomal RNA, 352 nt
Filed under: uncultured bacterium
Lineage: Bacteria
Description: bacterial SSU rRNA
Rfam family: Bacterial small subunit ribosomal RNA
Source: RNAcentral